GGCACCAUUCAAGUUAAAGCAGCGCAGGCAAGUUUAUAACAUCAGGAAGAGAAACUGCUGCCUGAUCUCUGAGCUACCCAAGUCUUGUGCUCAGGAAGCUGAAAGGAACUACAAAAAUCCCUGCAAAGUGGUCCCUGCUGGCAAAAAGAACCCUCAAGACAAAACCCAAGGUUUAUUACGGAGUAUGAAAAUCAGGAAGCUUUUUGUUCACUUCAUACAUCUCUUCCGACAAAGCCAGGCAUCAGAACCCGGCACAGACUCCAGAGUGAUUAUUGUUACACAUGAUCUAUGGAGCAGAUAAAUUACAGCUUGAUUUUUAUAAGUCUGUUGCACCGGAGCUGUCGGCCAUGCUGUUCCAGUUCAGGGGCUCCUGCAACAGAAAAGAUCAGCUGUUGGAGAACCCAUGGAAAGCCCUGGGGGAGAGCCAUGGCCGCAAGGUAAUCAGCAGGCAAAGUUAUUACCAUUAUGCUGCUAAUUAAUUCCCAGCUCAUUACGUUUCCUGUGGCUAAUUUGUACUCGCCGCUGAUUUGAUUAAACUCAUCUCUAUGCUAAUAAAUGUGUUUUCCAUUUGUUUUAGCGACUGUAGGAAGAGAGCCCGGUAUUUACAUAUUUUGACGUUUAUCAAAUAAAACGCGGUGCCUGAAUUAAUUCUGCUCUGAUUUAUAAGUGGGGGGAAGGGGAGCGCCGGGGCGCUGGGGGUCAGCCACAAAGUGGGUGUGCAUGGCGGGUUGUGGGGAUGCCGGGGUGCAGAGAUGCGUGGGGUGCUUCCCUACCAGUCCCAUCCUGCCCAGGGAUGGAGUCCCAUGGGCUCAUCCUGCACGAGCCUUGCUGUGGGGCAAUGCCCAUAGGAGUGGAAAAUCCUUUGCUUUCCCCGAAGUGACCUCCCAGCACCUCCUGGCCACCUCCUCCAGGGUCUCACCCACCUCAUCAGCUGUCCUGCUGCUAUUGAUUUCCCCUUCUAGCUAUGUUUUUUUUUUUUUUUUUUGAGGGGGGGGAAUGGACACAUGGACACUCGUCGGGUGGAUUUUUCUUUGUCUUCCAGAAACUGCUCUAAAUGGAGAGGAUAUCAUACUGCAGCACCUAAUUACAAGCGGUGACUUUAUUUCUGAGCUCCCUGUGGCAGGACUCACUGCAGUAACACCAGGCUCCCACCAGCUGGGACUCCUAAUCAGGCACAAACGUACACCUUGUGAUGCAUACACAAAUGUAUACAUCACAGGCACCUGCCUUCUCCUUUCUCCCCAUGGCAAAUAGCAUGGCAGGAGGCUCUGCCUUGACCCCAGCAGUUACCUCUAAAACUCAAGAUAAAGUCUUUGGAACAGAUCUUCAGCAAGUGCAACUCCAUUGGAAACAGCAUCCUCUUCCUUAUAAUUAAUUGAUGUAACAUCAUCCUUCUCUUUAUCUGGGGCAAAUCCUAACAGGAAAAUAAUCUGAGAGUGUGAGUCAGUGGGAUUUGUGCUUUUCAGUCACUCAAAGAUUUGUGAAAUCCCUCCUUUCCUUUUGCUAGGAAAACUAGCCAUUAUCACCAAGCAGAUUCUCUGUGCCCACAUGUGUGCAUCACAUUAUGUUUGCGCACGCACAUUUAUCCCUCAGCUUCCCCCUGCACUCUCAGCAGAAGUUUCCUGGCAAAGCUGGCCCCAACACAUUGCUUCCCACUCUGUGAUCCCUUGCACUGCCACCGCUCACCCCAGGCAAUCUGGGAACAGCUUGAUAGCUUAAGUAACAAUUAACCUCCUUGUCUUUUGGGAGCACUUCUGGUGCACUGUGCUCAUCCCCAGCUCCAGAGCAGCGUUACCCAAACUGCUGCCUGGCUCCUACACAUCCUUAUGUGUGGAGGGCACCUCUGAGCCCACCCUGCAGCCUCCAGGAGGCUCCCUCUGCUCUCCUGUGAACAUACCUGUUUGUGUCACUGCACAAGGUAUAUGGGACAAAGAUGUCAUUUCCUCAAUGUCUUUUGGAGCCCAUAGCAGCAAAACCUCUGUUGGUUGUUAUGAUAUCAGCUCCUCUCCUUUGCUGCCAGUAGAAGUCAAAGGUGGCUUUCCUUGUACUGGUGUCCCUGCCCCCAUCAGCCUGUCUCAAUGUUCACCAUCUUUCUCCAGUGUCCAUCUCUUUGUCCCAGUGUCCAUCUCCCUGUCCCAAAGUCCAUCACUCUGUCCUCAGUCCAUCUCUAUGUCUCUGUGCCCAUCACCUUGUCUCCAACUAUCUCCCUGACCCCACAUUCCUCACCCCUCUCCCCAAGCAGCCCAUCACCCUGUCUCCAUGCCCAUCCCCAUGUUCCCAUGCCCAUCACUCCAUCCCCAUGCCCAUCCCCAUGUCCCCAUGGCCAUCUCUCAUGCCUCCUCCCUUGAGCUCAUGCAGAAAUGCGGGUGCAACUGAAAGUUCCCAGGCCCUACACAGCAUUUUCCCCAUUUCAUUAGAAUAACCUGCUAAGCCACGUGAUGGUGCAAUUGUGGGACUUUUCCUACAAAAGAUUUUAAGCCUUUGCAAAAAGGGGAAGUAUUACUGACAAAAAAAAAAAGCACCUUGUU
Gallus gallus (chicken) is the source of this 2528-nucleotide long non-coding RNA. RefSeq lists it as uncharacterized. The record is from RefSeq and is a predicted model, not a curated record. NCBI's taxonomy places the organism in Eukaryota, Metazoa, Chordata, Aves, Galliformes, Phasianidae. The transcript has 4 exons.